AGAGGUCCCGCCUGCCCUGUGACGAAAGUUUAACGGCCGCGGUACUUUGACCGUGCGAAGGUAGCGUAAUCACUUGUCUUUUAAAUGAAGACCUGUAUGAAUGGCAUAACGAGGGCUGAGCUGUCUCCUUUUUCUAGUCAAUGAAAUUGAUCUGCCCGUGCAGAAGCGGGCAUACUAACAUAAGACGAGAAGACCCUAUGGAGCUUUAGACACCGGGACAGACCACGUUAAGGUGCCUAUAUUAACAGGACGAAACAAAACGGCCCCUGCCCCCGUCUUUGGUUGGGGCGACCACGGGGAAAACAAAACCCCCGAGUGGAAUGGGACACAACCCUCUAGGCGAGGCCUACAGGCCCAACCUUCAGAAUAUCUGACCAGCAAGAUCCGGCAAAGCCGAUCAACGGACCCAGUUACCCUAGGGAUAACAGCGCAAUCCCCUUUUAGAGCCCACAUCGACAAGGGGGUUUACGACCUCGAUGUUGGAUCAGGACCUCCUAAUGGUGCAGCCGCUAUUAAGGGUUCGUUUGUUCAACGAUUAAAGUCCUACGUGAUCUGAGUUC
This 560-nucleotide ribosomal RNA is filed under the name Perciformes sp. GB-2010b. RNAcentral's name for it is "partial 16S ribosomal RNA". It matches the Rfam family "Bacterial large subunit ribosomal RNA", at positions 1848 to 2612 of the family's 2925-position model. Lineage: Eukaryota; Metazoa; Chordata; Actinopteri; Perciformes. The record is from RNAcentral.